RNAcentral lists this long non-coding RNA (1030 nucleotides) under Marmota monax (woodchuck). Lineage: Eukaryota; Metazoa; Chordata; Mammalia; Rodentia; Sciuridae. The record is from RNAcentral.
GCCGACCCUGGCUGGCUGCAGUCCAGUGCUUUGGGUUUUCGAGUGUGCUGGGUACAGGUGACAUGUUGUCCUGGAGCCUGGGGCGCGUAGGCUCAGAGCGACCCGCAGCCUUUGCCUAGACCCCGACCCAGAGGGCUGGAGGCCCUGGUAGGCGGGUCGGGGAGGAAGGGGUGCGCGCAGGCGGGCGACUGUGGCGCGUGGGCGGUCAAGGAGACGGUCUGCUGGCGACCGCGUGUCACCUGUGGUCUACCUGUGUGUCGUGGGCUCCGCGCCCCCUCUCAGCCCGCCUCUCGGCUGCAGAGAGACAGUUCUCUACUGAAUAGGAGUGAGAGGCUUCCCAGAGUUCCAUUCCCAGACACCCUUCCACCCCACGAAGCGCGGAGGGAGAUCUUGAGUUACUCCGUGUGGAGGGACACGCGAAGUGUUGGGCAGUGACUGAGGCUUCUAGAGACCAGGCCGAAGGAGUCUGCAAUAGGAGUUAUAGAAGCUGUCGGUUGUGUUCCUUCAAAUCUUUUUUUGGUGCUGGAGAUUGAACUCGGGGCACUCGACCGCUGAGCCACACCCCAUCCCUGUUUUGUACUUUAUUUAGGGACAGGGUCUCACUGAGUUGCUUAGCGCCUCGCCAUUGCUGAGGCCGGCUUUGAAGACAGAAGUACUGGUUGCUCUCCUUGACUUUGCCUUGGAACUCACUGCCUGAGUAGUCUCAGGAAGAGCUUUGUGUGGGUGCCGUAGGCAGCUCCCCUGAGCUCAGCCCGAGAUAUGUUUCCACUGUUUGUACAAGGGGUUUCAUUGCUUGUGUGGAUCGGAACCUGGGUCUACCCAUGGUUGGCAAUGUGAACAGAUGUGUUGCCCGGGGCUCUUUCUGCAUCUGUAGAAUCAGGGAGUAAUGGCAAUAGUAUUUAGCUCCCAGGAACCUCUACCCUUGAGAGUGCUGCACAAACAUGAGCUUUGUAAUUUUUAUUAAUUUUUAAACAUGAUCUUUUUUUAUGUUUAUUUUUUAGUUGUAGUUAGACACAAUAUCUUUGUUUUA